Molecule: non-coding RNA, 522 nt
Organism: Hipposideros armiger (great roundleaf bat)
Lineage: Eukaryota; Metazoa; Chordata; Mammalia; Chiroptera; Hipposideridae
Source: the annotation of a RefSeq genome assembly
ACAGCACUGGAAGACACGAGAUUCUGCCCUGGACCUGAAAUGGCCACCAGGCUCUUCUUCUGUGUGGUCCUUUGUCUCCUGUGGGCAGGACACAUGGAUGCCGGAAUCACCCAGAGCCCAAGAUACAAGGUCACAGGGACAGGAAAGGAAGUGACUCUGAGAUGUCUCCAGACUGAGAACCAUAACUACAUGUACUGGUAUCGACAAGACCCGGGCCAUGGGCUGAGGCUGAUCUAUUACUCAGCCACUAAAGGGAGCACCGACAAAGGAGAUGUCCCCGACGGGUACAGUGUCUCCAGAUCAAAGAUAGAGAACUUCCCCCUCACGCUGGAGUCGGCUACCCCCUACCAGACAUCUGUGUACUUCUGUGCCAGCAGUGACUCCACAGCGCUGCACCGCCACCUCCUCUCUGCACAAAAAGGCAGGGGGAGACUCCACACCCCAGACUCAGCAGAGCCUGUGCAGCCUCAACUCCCACCCUGGGAGCCUUGGAGCCCCGAGUGGCCUGUGCAUACAGGGUGA